GACGAACCACACAACCGUUAUUCGGAAUUACUGGGCUUAAAGGGUGCGUAGGCGGCGCGGAAAGUAGGGUGUGAAAUCCCUCGGCUCAACCGAGGAAUUGCGCCCUAAACUACCGUGCUCGAGGGAGAUAGAGGUGAGCGGAACUUAGGGUGGAGCGGUGAAAUGCGUUGAUAUCCUAAGGAACACCGGUGGCGAAAGCGGCUCACUGGAUCUCUUCUGACGCUGAGGCACGAAAGCUAGGGUAGCGAACGGG
This 253-nucleotide ribosomal RNA is filed under the name uncultured bacterium. Its description in RNAcentral is "partial 16S ribosomal RNA". It matches the Rfam family "Bacterial small subunit ribosomal RNA", at positions 524 to 776 of the family's 1533-position model. The record is from RNAcentral.